This 99-nucleotide transfer RNA is filed under the name Actinoplanes italicus. Its description in RNAcentral is "tRNA-Ser". The record is from RNAcentral. Lineage: Bacteria; Bacillati; Actinomycetota; Actinomycetes; Micromonosporales; Micromonosporaceae.
GACCUGGGCAGCACGGGACGGUUCGGUGUCAGUGCCUGGAGCGUGCUGCCCGACAGUGACACCACCGGGGCACCGACCGAUCCGCCGGUCCCCGGCGCG